Neopsephotus bourkii (Bourke's parrot) is the source of this 1346-nucleotide long non-coding RNA. RefSeq lists it as uncharacterized. NCBI's taxonomy places the organism in Eukaryota, Metazoa, Chordata, Aves, Psittaciformes, Psittacidae. The record is from RefSeq and is a predicted model, not a curated record. The transcript has 3 exons.
CCUGCCCAUGGCAGCGGUUGGAACUGGAGGAGCUUUAAGGUCCCUUCCAACCCAAACCAUCCGGUGAUGUUAUGAAGAAGGCCAAUGCUUCUUUACUGGGUGCAGCUCCUUUUGUGGUGUUGUAAAAAGCACCCAGUGCUGGUCUUCCCGAGGUCACAGGUGACUUCACGGCACAGAGUCAUUAGUGCACAGGGAGUGUUGGGUAUCGGCACCUUCCUGUUAGCCUCCUGUAAUGAGAAUAUUGGCAUCGGUGUCGCAUGCCUGCCUCUGGCUGACCAUGGAGAGGCCUUGCCCAGCGAAGCUGGAGCAGCACCAUGUGGGAAAUGCAGGAUUCCCUGCCAGUGUCCCCCUGCUUGCUGCAGGUUUGUAGCACAGCUCUGACUUCAUGCUUUUUUUUGGCACAAAAAAUGAGUGCAGAGCAAGUAUGAGGUGUCCAGGCCAGCUUUCAUACUGUGCUCCUGGGAAAGCUGGUGUGUGGUGUCCUAUGAAAACUGCCAAUAGCUCCUGUGCCUGAGGCCUCGGCUGUACUUGAAGUAAAUCACCACGGACAGGGAUAUGACUUUUAUUCUCUCAUCAGGGAUGUGUUGGUUUGGAGAUGCACCUUGUGCUCCUCAGAGGCCUCUGCUGGCAUGGAGGGACCCUGGAUUGAGAAGCUGGCUGCUUGGGAUGUUCCCAUAUUUUCCAGCCUGGAAGACUGAAGUCCUCUCUGUUUAGCUGGUACAAUGCCCUGUCUUUGGGAAAACCCCUUGUGAGGAUCCGGAACCAGACUUCGUGUCCAAAGCAUUAUCUGUGUGUGAGCUGAUCUCCUCUGUCUUGGCAACAAAUGAGCCCAAAUAGCAAACAGCACCAAUGCCUUCUUGGAGAAAAUUAUCCGUCGCAUAAAACGUUAAUGGGUAAGCAAUAAAAUUAGGUCUGUAAUUCAGGCUUGGCUUAAAACUGAGCUAAAAGCCUCACUGGCAUUUGGGUAUUCAGCUGCCAUAGCAUCGUUUUAAUAAAUAGAGUCAAUGAGCAGGAAAGGGCUGUAAAUAAAUACAGUUUAUAGUGACAAGAUGGUGGCUGGAGCUGGGUGGCUCAAACAAAGAAAUGCUCUGUGUGUUCCUCGUGAUGUCUGAGGGCUCCCAUAUGGGUAACCUGUGGUUUUCCAGUAAAAAACAAAGCAAGUGGGAUGUGCACUGGAUGCUAUUGAGGGGGGAUUGCUGUGUGUCACUAAUGUGACUGCUCUAAUCCAUGCUGGAUGUCACUGUCCGUGUCCCCAGCUAUGGGGAGAGGUGUAACGCCUUCCUUCCCGACUCCAGCCGUGCUCCACAGAUCAAUUGCUACUCUGGGACCCAGUGUAAGGAGUUACA